Molecule: long non-coding RNA, 8861 nt
Filed under: Citrus maxima (pomelo)
Lineage: Eukaryota; Viridiplantae; Streptophyta; Magnoliopsida; Sapindales; Rutaceae
Description: long non-coding RNA (CMAX_LNC001982)
Source: RNAcentral
GAUGAAGCACUUUCUGCUCUGAGGUUUGGCAAGUACCAAGCUCUAGUGCUAGCAUAUGCUGGACUUGGUUGGGUUUCAGAGGCAAUGGAGAUUAUGAUUCUCUCUUUUGUUGGACCAGCAGUCAAAUCAAAGUGGAAACUAACCUCAAGCGAAGAGAGCCUGCUAACCACUGUUGUUUUCGCUGGGAUGCUGCUUGGAGCUUAUUCUUGGGGCAUCAUUUCUGAUAAUUAUGGGAGGAGGUACGUUAUUGCUUGUUAAUUCAGACAUCGAACGUAUAUUUGCUACGUUGCUAGAAUAGCUUCUUACCUUGCAGAUGGCAUAUUAUUAUUCUUUUAGCCUAUAUCUUCAUCUGCUCACAGGAGGAUUUGUAUUUAAAAGAUUUCAUUUUGAUUCUUAUACUUCUGGAGAUUACUUGGGAGUUUCACCAUGUGCUUUCUCUACAAUUUGGAUUUGCCUUCUGGAUGUUUCUCACUAUUUCAAGUUAGAUAUGUGCAUAUUAAAUUUCAAAUAUGUUUAAUAUAUUUGUCCCUUUUUAUCGUAACCUAAACUGUUUUUGCAACUCAGCUGAGUCCUUGAUGCCUGUUUUACCUUAACAGAUUCAAUUUUUAACUCGCCCACUCAAACUUCAACAUGCAGGCAAACAGAGGCAAUUACGGCGUCACAAAUAUCUAUGCAGAAAGAAUAAAGUGUUUAUUUAGUGUUACAAAUUUUCUAAAUUAGCAGAGUGAGGUUGGAAAUUCUAAAAAGGUUUAGCACCCUUUCUAAGCCAUUGAAUUCCCUUUAAUUUAUCAAUUUCCGGUUUUUCCAACCUGUUCAGUGGUCUUCCUAAAAUGUCACUACAAUUAGGGCGUCACAAAUAUCUAUAAGGAAUAUCUCUGUCACCACAUUCUUUUCUUUCUGUUCCACUCAUUGCAUACUACUCGUGAAUUGCCAUAGGCAGAAAUGUUUUUGUAUUUUCAAGUCAUAGGCAUCAUGGAUUAUAAAGCGCAAAUCAUUUUUAUGUUUCUUGACUGUUAUAUGUGCUGCAAGAAGCUUUUCGCUUGGUACAGCUCAAAUAUGAGUCUGUUCAACUUUGCUUUCCACCAGGCUUUUAAGGUUCUGUUUAUUUCAGUACAUCAGUUCACCUUUUUCCCCUGAUAUGCUUAAGUAAAUCACAAAGAUGCACUUAUCCAUCAAAUGUUAGGCCAUCUACUUAAGAAUUUAUUCAUAAAUAUAAAGUCUUUGGUUGAAACUCGAUGUUUUAUAAUUACUUUUUUCUAGUUUUAUUAAAUGCUGACUAGUGUCUGCUCUCUCCAGAAAGAGUUUUCUCGGCAUAGCUAUGGUAACUAGUGUGGCUGGACUAUUAAGUUCUUUCUCGCCAAAUUAUGUAUCAUUGGUGAUAUUUCGUUGUUUCGUUGGUGUUGGUUUGGGGGGAGUACCUGUAUUCUUAGCCUAUUUUCUGGAGUUCGUUCCUGUUUCACAUAGAGGCAGGUGGAUGGUAGCCCUCUCAGCUUUCUGGACAGCUGGAACAAUUUUUGAGGCGUCGCUUGCCUGGGUAUGUAUAAUUUCCUAACUUCUACUGUCAUUAUCCAAAUAACUCUUAGAUUAUAUUUCUUUUACUUUCUAGAAACAGUCCUGUUUUUACCUUGUGGCAUGGUGAUGAUGUAGGAAAGGAAAUAAAAGAAAAGAAAGAGAGAGUGGGAGAAAAGAAUUACAAAGGGAAGAAGAAGAACAAAGAGAAUUAAGAGACGAAACAAGAUUUCAGUGAAUUAAUAAUCACUAAAAACUAAUCCUCUAUAUAUGGUAGUCCAAACCUAAUCUGAAGGGAAUCUACUCCUGUUGGCAGAGGAACACCAAGUUUCCAAAAUGAAACAAAUUCCUAAACUAAUUAGUAUCUAAAACUUCAAAACGUGUUCGAUAUCACUUGAAGCUUAAGAGUCUUCCAGAGAAGAUUGAGGUAUCUUUAGGUAAUAGUUUCCUCAUAAAAUAUUACAAGUAUUGUGCAUUGGUAAGCUCUUCCAGCUGGUUUUGCUCGUUCUUCAUUAUUCAAAAUCUUUUGGCAUCGUUCCAGAAAAGAUAUUGUACCUUUAAAAGUUUAUGAUAUUCGGAAAAAUGGACGUUUAUCUUCAACUGAUGUCUGAACCAAAUAACUAAUCAUGCUUUUCUAUUUUUAUUCUUCUUAAGCGACAACUGGUAUGCUGGUGACAGGAGGCUCUGAGGCUCCAUAAAAUUUAAAAAUUCUUUCAUUUGCAGGUUGUCAUGACAAGACUGAAUUGGAGGUGGCUACUUGCAUUUUCCUCUGUACCAUCAUUUGCUCUGCUUCUCUUUUAUGGUCUAGCACCUGAGUCACCCAGGUAUUUGUGUGCGAAAGCUAGAACAGCUGAUGCACAUAGAAUUCUCGAGAAGAUGGCUUUUGUCAACCAAACAAAACUCCCACCCGGCAUUCUUGUUUCUGAUAAAGCAAUUAAAGAGAACGAAGAAUCAAAUUUAUUGCGAGAUACACAUAUGCUCUCAAUGACAAGAAAGAUCACCGACAAGUUAAAGUCUGGCUUCUCAUCAUUUUUUAUGCUUUUCUCAAGAAAAUUAAUUCGGACAACUCUUCUCCUAUGGGUGUUAUUCUUUGCAAAUGUUUUCUCAUAUUAUGGCGCUGUCUUGUUGACCUCUAAGCUAAGCAGUGGAGACAAUAAAUGCGGCUCAAAGGUCUUGCAUGCGGACAAGUCGAAAGAUAAUAGCCUGUAUGUCGAUGUGUUUAUCGCUAGUUUGGCAGGUACUGUAUGACUUCCGUUGACCGUCAUGUGCUCUAUAUUUUGAAAUAUAUUCUGCUCUUUUAACACCUUUAUUUUCUUUCAUAUAGUGUCAUGGCUUAGUAACAUUUGUGUUGAUUUUAUAUUACAGAGCUUCCCGGGCUUAUCUUGUCAGCAAUAAUAGUGGACAAAAUUGGCCGCAAGCUUUCCAUGGUUCUUAUGUUUGUCUCAGCUUGCAUUUUCCUUCUGCCACUGGUCUUCCAUCAGUCUGCUGUAGUAACUACGGUGUUACUGUUCGGAGUUCGCAUGUGUGUCACAGGAACCAUAACAGUUGCCACAAUUUAUGCCCCUGAGGUAAUCUGAUGGAACUUCUCAUACCUAUCGAAAGAAAAUUGUACUAAUUAAUAGCGCUUGAGUUCUUGAUAUGUUAUAGGCUUCAUUUUUAUGAUCGUUUACUCUUUCAAGUUUCACAAAUAUGUUUUUCAUAUCAGAUAUAUCCUACGUCUGCGAGGACAACUGGGUUUGGUGUUGCAAGUUCUUUGGGAAAAGUAGGAGGCAUGGUAUGCCCUCUUGUUGCCGUUGGACUUGUAACCAGUUGUCACCUAAGACUUGCGGUUAUUCUGUUUGAGGUUGUAUUUGUUCUGGCUAUAGCCUCUUCUCUGCUCUUCCCAUUUGAAACCAUGGGACGGGAACUAAAAGACACCGUGGAUGCAAUUGAAUCAUAGUAAGCUUGUUGCUCUGUUUCUUAUACUCUCUUGCUAGUGGAAAAAGUAUGUCAGUGCACAAUACUUCAGCAAACUUUCUUACUUCUCAUUGAACGCUUAUGAAUUGGAUGCAAAUGUUAUGUAAAUAGAGUUUCAACUUUCAAGUGCAUUAAUUAAUUUUCAUGUCUAGAUCUCUCUCAUCAUCAUCAUCUCCUUUCACCACUUUUCAAAUUUUGGGCUUGCAGCCGAAUUUCAAUAAGGCUUUUAGGCUUCGUAUGUUGCUGUUGAAAUAAAAGAUACCAAGUGCUAUGUGAAAAAAGAAACUGUACGGUUGGUGUCAAGUAGAAAAAUGCAAAAAUUAUCAAUGAUCACGGCCCAUAAAAUCAAACUAAUUAACAUUAGCUCAUUAAAUUAUCAGCCACGUCAUCACUGCUCCAAAUUCGGAAAGAUAUCAACUGAAAUGAAAGAAUAUUAACAAUAAUUAAUAAUAAAAAUAUCUCGUCUUUAGUUGCCUACAGCAACUAAAAUGUUGAGUGGACAAAGUAUCCUCAAAUCCGACGCUUUAUAUUUAAUUAGUUAAUGUUCAAUCUUGCCAUCUGGAGAAUACACGUGAUCCCCCUGGCCCACAUUCCCAUAAUUCCGAACUAAAAUAUUCAGAGUUUUACGCUGCAGGGCUGGAACCCGCGCAGCGGAAUUUCCCGAACUCCAGACACCAAAAUCAUUAUUAACCCGUGAGAUAUCUUAUUAAUUAGGAAGGAACGGCAAAAGGUGUUAUCCGCGCGACAAGUCGGUUUAACUCGGCAUCUUAGGAUUUAUUAUCAUACUCCGAGUUUAAACCUUUAUUUCGGGUGAACCCAAUAUCAAGUUAAUAUGUAUCUCUUAGAACACAUUUGGUUAAUUUGUCAAUAAUAUUGUUGUCUGGACUUUUAGUCCAACUGAUCAGUUAAAAGAAAAAGGUUUCUUUGACCGAAACAUACAAGGAUACAAAUUUCUUUCCUUGAUUUGUAAUUUGUUAGUUAUUACAAAUUAUUUGUGCCAUUGGCGGUGUUAUUGUUGGAGGUGAGAAGUAGCCUCAUCGUUUUUAAUUGGGUUCAGUAGAUGGGAGAUGAAAGCCUUGUGUACACGUUGGAUGGAGCACUUUCUGCUCUGAGAUUUGGCGAACUACAUAGCUGUUGUGCUCUCUCGUAUGCUGGACUCGGUUGGUUUUCGGAAGCGAUGGAGAUGAUAAUUCUCUCUUUUGUAGGACCAGCAGUGAAGUCCAAAUGGGGACUCGCCUCAGGCGACUGUUGUUUUUUUUUAUUGGGAUGCUGUUUGUUUCUGUUAAUUUCGGGGAGGAAGUAGCCUAUUUCGUCCUUCCGUUUUGUUAAUUUACUUUUGCUUCUCCCACAUGUAGGCACGCAGAAGCAAUUAUGCUGUCCGAACUGUCCAUGCAGAAUAAAGAAUUUAUGGAUGAUUUUAAGCUUUGAAUAUUAGCACAUUCGAACUCUAAUCAUAGGCUUCACGAAUUAAUAAAGUGAAAAUCAUUUUUCAGUUUCUAGAUUAUUGCUAUAUGUACUGUACUACCAGUGGCUUUCUAAGGAAAUAGAAGCCCUUGGUGGUACAAGAUAUUAUUCAUUUCUUUUUUUUCUUUACGUCAAUCCGCCUUUUUCUUUCUGAUGCCUGAUGUUGUCUGGUCUGCUCUUUCUAAGUGCCUGAUGUUGUCUGGUCUGCUCUUUCCAGAAAAGAGUAUGCUCGGCUUAGCAGUGGUAACUUGUGUGGCUGGAUUGCUGAGUGCUUUCUCACCAAAUUAUGCAUCAAUGGUGAUAUGUCGUUGUUUGGGCAGAGGACACGUAUUUUUAUUCUAUUUUUCUAGAGUUGGUUCCUGUUUCUCGUAGAGGUGCGUGGAUGGUAGUGUGCUCAGCUUACUGGAGUGCUGGAACAAUCUUUAAGGCUUCACUUGCCUGGGUAUGCUUUCUGUCCUGACUUCAAACUCAAAAGUCACUUACAUCAUGAAGCUUAAGAGUCUGCUUUCUGAUAACAUAUUUCUUUCUUGAUAAAUUAAUACGCAAUUUUACGCAAUAUUAUGCUGGUGACUGAAGAAGGCCUUGAGGCUUCAUAAAAUGUCAACAUGCCUUCACUUGAACAAUGUCAUGAUUAAACUGAAUUGGAGGUGGUUACCUGCACUUUCUGCUGUACCAUCAUUCGCUCUGCUUCUCUUUUAUUGUCCAGCUCCUGAGUCAUCAAGUUAUUUAUUGGCUAUAUGGGUAGUAAAAUUUGAUCACUUAAUCGAUAACAGAAUUACACAUAUUAUGCCCUUUAAGAUGUCGAGUGAUUUUUAAAUAAUUUUAUCUAAUUGGUCACCUCAAUAUGAAUUUUGAGAGUGAUAAGAAAUAAAAAAUUAAUAUGGAUAAAGACCGUUUCUUUAUUUUUUUAAAUAGAAAAUAAAAAAUUACACAUUAAAUUAUUUUUUAUUUUUAAAUAAUUUUUUAAUUUAUAGUAUCAGGAGAAAGUAUUUAUUAAUAACCCAAUUUGUUUUAUUCUUUUACGAUUUUAUGACGGUUAUUUCAAUGAUUUUACAAACGAAAUCUUUGCAAAAUUUGAUGGCAUGGACCAUUGAAAUAACCGUCAUAAAAUCUUUUGCGAUUUUAUGACGGUUAUUUCAAUGAUUUUACUAACGAAAUCAUGGAAAAUGUGGAUUAAGUUCUUAUUCGUGAUUAUGCUAAAAAGUAGGAACAUGGCUAAGCAGGGUAAUUGAUGGAUCUUCCGGAACCUUCUCUCCGUCAACAUUACCCUUAUUAUUAUUAUUAUUAUUAUUAUUAUUAUUAUUGUCUUUGUUUUUGGAUUUGUGACAAUUCAGCCCAAACAGAAACGGAUAUGGCCGAGACAGGGGUUAACAUUCUUUUGAAUUGGAGACCUUACGAUGAUGCAUUUAUUGUAGAGUGAAUCUAUUUAUGCCCCUCAAAUAUCCUCCGAAGACCCCCAUUUUCAGUAAAAUCCAACAUGAUUCCAAAAAUACCCUUUUAAUCAACACCUAAUUUAUGAUUAUUUAAUUCAUUUAUGAUUUUUAAGCCAUUUUCUCACUCUUGAAAUUAGUCUUAUUUAUUUUUAUUGUAACAUUUUUUUAAAAAAAAGUUCUUUCUAUCAAUAAACUUAUGAAUGAGAAUAAUUGAUUUGGAAAUUAUGGUUGAAAAGUAGUUUCAAGUAUAAUGAAAGAAAAAUACAAAUAGAAGAAAUUGUUUUAAAUUUAGGGAAACAAAUCAUAUACAUGAGAGUCAUGUCUCUCAACUCAAGUCACAUAAAUAUAACCUACAAAAAUAAAAAUAAGAGAGAACUAAUAAAUUACUAUGGAUUAAAGAGGCAAAAGAGUGAGAAAAAAAAAAACACAUGUAUAUGCACAUGCAACAAAAAUAACAGGAAAAUUAUGCAAUCUUAAUUUUUUUUUGAUAUACUAAUAUAUUACAAUCAAAUCUCUACUGAUAUUUAUAAUUAGAAAUCAAUCGAGGACUCUCCUGAAUAAUCUUAUUAUAGGAGAGUCUGAAGGUUAACCCUCACUUAAAGUUGGAGUAAAAUAUAUCCUCACUAUUAAUAUUAGAGCCUAUUAUACGACAAUUUAAACGUUUACUUAAAAUUAGAGGAAUAUUUAUUCUCACUGUUAAUAUUAGAAAAACAUUAAUUUUACCCUAAUAGAGAGACACAAAUAAACCUCUAUUAUACAAAAAAAAAAAAAAAAAAAAUCGAAUCCACCGCCGUACUAAUACUGAGAUUUGAACUGCCAAAGGGGUCGUAAUUUUUUAAUAUAACGAUCCCACUAAAAAAGCAUAAGAUCCUAUUUGAUAACUAUUCCGUCGAAAAAUUUUGAGUGAAAUAUCAUUACUAAUUACCACAUUACCGAUGACCUAUGUCAUGUCAUGCGAACUGGUGACGAACUCCGGCAAAGUUGGUGUCAUUUUCUACACACUUGUCAACUAGCGCUCGCCGCAGUGGUGGCAUUCGGUAAUCUUUCUUGUUCUUGAUGUUAUCAAACACCAACAAAACGACAGCCCCCGUGGUUCCCACCUCCUUCUCUUUCAACACAAUCAUAAUUUUCUUUUUAAUCGUAUUGAUCGGACCACAAAUGACCCAAACCCUUCCACAUGUCUCUUUCUGGUUUGAUCGAUUCACGGUCUCGCCCACUUGCACCAACACCUAAAGAACAUUCAAUUAUUCGUUGACGACCUUCUGACAAUGAUUACGGGGAUUCCCAUUUCCAUAUCCACCUCUGUACGACAAGUCGGUCUAGCGUCCUACUAGUAUUUGUGAUAGUUACUCCACCGCUCUGUGCUCUGUAGUCAGUACGCACUCUUUCAGGUGAAACCAGUAAAGGUAAUUUCUUGUUUUUCGUAUUUUCAUUGUUCUUUUUGUGAUCAUGUAGAGAAUUUUGAUCAUUUGGCUUGCACGUGUUUGCUAAAGAAAGGUGGUGCAUUUGUGUUCCCACAAUUACUGCAUUUUGUUGUUAGUUGAUAAGCAAUUCUUGCGAAGCUACUUCAGAACUAUUUAAUUUAAGCUGGGCAUACAUGUUUUUGAAUAUCCAGAAACUUGCCUGAAUUCACUUUGGUAUGGGACAUAUUUGUGCAAAUGUUUUAUCAAACUUCCCAAAAGUGCUUUCCCUGGAGUUGUUGUUGCAGCAAGCAAAAAGAAAAGCUGCUUUCUUCUGGUGUACUGAAUGAAUUUUGACUUCAUAUUGACAAUUUAUUUUUCUCUGUCUCACUGUCUGUCUCCUGGAACCUAACAUACACCCUCAAGUGGAUUUUUUUGACUUUUUAUUUUUUAUUUUCAAACAAAGAAUUAUAGAAUUAAAAUAUGUGAAGUUGCUGAAAAACAUAAGGAUGUUAUAUGUAUUUAAAAAAAAAAAAAAAAUUGACUUCAAGUUUAUGUCACUUACAACACAUUUCAACAUUUGAUUAGUUUACUGUGUAAACUUUCAUCCAAUUGAGCAGAAAACAAGUUUCUUUGACUGAAACAUAUAAAUUCAAUGGUCCAACUAUGCAUAAGGAUAUGAAAUUCUCUCUUGUUAUUUGUUACGAUUAUUUGUGCCAUUGCUGUUGUCUCCCUGUUGGUAAGAGUAGUCAUUAUUUAUGCAAAUAUAGUCUGCAGUGGACUAAUAAUUUUGAUGGAUAUGUUUAUGGACAACAAUAUCUUUCAAUUUGGGUCUUUAGAUGGGAGAUGAACGUCCUGUGUACACGCUGGAUGAAGCACUUUCUGCUCUGAGGUUUGGGAAGUACCAAGCUCUAGUGCUGGCAUAUGCUGGACUUGGUUGGUUUUCAGAGGCAAUGGAGAUUAUGAUUCUCUCUUUUGUUGGACCAGCAGUCAAAUCAAAGUGGAAACUAACCUCAAGCGAAGAGAGCCUGCUAACCACUGUUGUUUUCGCUGGGAUGCUGCUUGGAGCUUAUUCUUGGGGAAUCAUUUCUGAUAAUUA